UCCAUGCAGGGAGCCAGACACGGGAUUCGAUCUAGGGACUCCAGGAUCAGCCCUGGGCCUAAGGCAGGAACCGCUAAGCCACCUAGGGACCUCCCCUGAGUCACCAAGGACUCCCCGAUUGGUUGAUUUUUAAAUGUCAAACCAGCCCUACAUUCUCCGGAUAAGCUUAAAGUAAUCAUGAUAUAUUUUCCUUUUUUUUUUUUUUUUUAAGAUGUAUUUAUUUGAAAGAGAGAGCAUGCAGGUUUGGAGAGAAUACUCAAACCGACUCCCUGCUGAGUGUGUAGCCCAACACAGGGCUCCAUCUCACAGCCCAGAGAUCAAGACCUGAGCCAAAACCGAGAGUCAGAUGCGCAACCAACUGAGCUACCCAGGCACCCCGAUAUAUUUUCCUUUUUAUCAGGAGGAUAAAUCCAGUUCCUGUUACUCCAUCUUUGGCAAAAGCAGAAAUCUGGAAACCUUUUCUAACAAGUAGUUGAAGCAUCUUAAGCCUAAAAACCCUGGAAGCACUAUGAUCCCAGUAGCAAUGAGCAAAACAAGCCACCAACUUUCUAAAUACUAUUCUUCAACAAGAGGAACAAGUCUUCUUGGAGAAAAGGCUGAUUUCAGGAGCAAAGGAGGGACGGGAUAACCAGGAACACCUUUUGGGGCCAGGAAGUAAGGAAGUAUUCAGAGAAUAAUGGAGACAUGUCAGAAGGACACAGAAGUUUUAAAAGGACCUUUACCAGCUGAAUCUGGGACAAUAUAUCAAAAUAAAAAUGACGGCAAACAAAUUACAUCAAUUGAUUAAAUUAGGGGCCAUCAGCCUAUGAUGAUAUAAAUAAAUGACUAAAUAGAAAACCCUUCCUUAUAAUGCCAACUAAUAAAAGUCAAAGGAACAGUUAAAUUAUAAAAUCAUCACUUUGCAGCUCUCAUAGAAAUAAUGAAUUCAGGCAAGAAACAUAAAUGGAUAGCAAGACUUAUGGAUGGAAAAUGGUUGGAUAACAGGUGUUAUUUACAUUGUCUCAAAUUAUCUCUCUACAAAAUAAUUAUACAUGAAGAAAGAGUAACUUUAUUGUGAAGAAACCUGGAAGCACAUCCUUACUCAGGUGAUUGAAGUUAACAUCAACAGUAGUGGAGCAAAUUGGCAUCCUAUGUUAUCUGAUGGAUGCAGUGAGCCAAGCACAAAAUUACUUAAGUGAUCUUGCCUGAAAUAUAUAACCCAACUGUGAAUGAACCUCAAGGGAGCACAAAUGGAGGAACAUUCCACAAAAUAAUAGGUCUACAGGGAUCCCUGGGUGGUGCAGCGGUUUGGCGCCUGCCUUUAGCCCAGGGCACGAUCCUGGAGAUCUGGGAUCGAGUCCUAUGUCGGGCUCCCAGU
Canis lupus familiaris (dog) is the source of this 1357-nucleotide long non-coding RNA. RefSeq lists it as uncharacterized. The record is from RefSeq and is a predicted model, not a curated record. The transcript is spliced from 3 exons. NCBI's taxonomy places the organism in Eukaryota, Metazoa, Chordata, Mammalia, Carnivora, Canidae.